GGGCCCGUAGCUCAGUUGGGAGAGCGCUUGAAUGGCAUUCAAGAGGUCAGGGGUUCGACUCCCCUCGGGUCCACCA
Molecule: transfer RNA, 76 nt
Filed under: Bacillota bacterium
Lineage: Bacteria; Bacillati; Bacillota
Also listed under: 1 other name
Description: Firmicutes bacterium (anaerobic digester metagenome) tRNA-Ala
Rfam family: tRNA
About the family: Transfer RNA (tRNA) molecules are approximately 80 nucleotides in length.
Source: RNAcentral